GACGAACGCUGGCGGCGCGCCUAACACAUGCAAGUCGAACGAGCGAGAGAGAGCUUGCUUUCUUGAGCGAGUGGCGAACGGGUGAGUAACGCGUGAGGAACCUGCCUCAAAGAGGGGGACAACAGUUGGAAACGACUGCUAAUACCGCAUAAGCCCACGGUGCCGCAUGGCACAGAGGGAAAAGGAGCAAUCCGCUUUGAGAUGGCCUCGCGUCCGAUUAGCUAGUUGGUGAGGUAACGGCCCACCAAGGCGACGAUCGGUAGCCGGACUGAGAGGUUGAACGGCCACAUUGGGACUGAGACACGGCCCAGACUCCUACGGGAGGCAGCAGUGGGGAAUAUUGCACAAUGGGGGAAACCCUGAUGCAGCGACGCCGCGUGGGGGAAGAAGGUCUUCGGAUUGUAAACUCCUGUUGUUGGGGAAGAUAAUGACGGUACCCAACAAGGAAGUGACGGCUAACUACGUG
RNAcentral lists this ribosomal RNA (466 nucleotides) under uncultured bacterium. RNAcentral describes it as "partial 16S ribosomal RNA". It matches the Rfam family "Bacterial small subunit ribosomal RNA", at positions 28 to 507 of the family's 1533-position model. The record is from RNAcentral.